Molecule: ribosomal RNA, 258 nt
Filed under: uncultured archaeon
Lineage: Archaea
Description: partial 16S ribosomal RNA
Rfam family: Archaeal small subunit ribosomal RNA
Source: RNAcentral
CAGCCGUAAACUAUGCUCGCUAGGUGUCAGGCAUGGCGCGACCGUGUCUGGUGCCGCAGGGAAGCCGUGAAGCGAGCCACCUGGGAAGUACGGCCGCAAGGCUGAACUUAAGGAUUGGCGGGGGANCACAACAACGGGUGGAGCCUGCGGUUUAAUGGACUCAACGCCGGACAACUCACCGGGGGACGACAGCAAUAUGUAGGCCAGGCUGAAGACCUUGCCUGAAUCGCUGAGAGGAGGUGCAUGGCGUAGACGUCU